Molecule: ribosomal RNA, 312 nt
Filed under: uncultured Anaerolineaceae bacterium
Lineage: Bacteria; Bacillati; Chloroflexota; Anaerolineae; Anaerolineales; Anaerolineaceae
Description: bacterial SSU rRNA
Rfam family: Bacterial small subunit ribosomal RNA
Source: RNAcentral
AGCUCGUGUCGUGAGAUGUUCGGUUAAGUCCGCUAACGAGCGCAACCCUCGCUGUAUGUUACAUGUGUCAUACAGGACCGCCGGUAUCAAGCCGGAGGAAGGUGGGGAUGACGUCAAGUCCGCAUGGCCUUUAUGUCCGGGGCUACACACACGCUACAAUGGUCGGUACAAUGGGUUGCUAAGCCGCGAGGUGGAGCCAAUCCCCCAAAGCCGGCCUCAGUUCAGAUUGCAGGCUGCAACUCGCCUGCAUGAAGCUGGAGUUGCUAGUAAACGCGCGUCAGCUAUAGUGCGUUGAAUACGUUCUCGGGCCUU